Molecule: small RNA, 450 nt
Filed under: Vigna angularis var. angularis
Lineage: Eukaryota; Viridiplantae; Streptophyta; Magnoliopsida; Fabales; Fabaceae
Description: Non-protein coding transcript
Source: RNAcentral
UUCUAAUAUCUUACUUGAUUCGAAUUACAAUGCAAAACUUUCUGAUUUUGGCUUGGCAAAGGAUGGACCAGCAGGUGAUGAAAGCCAUGUCUCUACAAGGGUAAUGGGCACUUAUGGCUAUGCUGCUCCUGAAUAUAUUGCCACAGGUCACUUGACAAAGAAGAGUGAUGUCUACAGUUUUGGGGUUGUUCUGCUUGAAAUCAUGUCUGGCAAACGUGCCCUUGACAGCAACAGGCCAAGUGGGGAGCACAAUUUAAUUGAAUGGGCCAAACCAUACCUCAGCAACAAACGCAGGAUCUUCCAAGUCAUGGAUGCUCGCAUCGAAGGCCAAUACUCGACGCGCGAAGCCAUGAAAGUAGCCAACCUUGCCAUUCAAUGCCUCUCUGUGGAGCCAAGAUUUAGACCAAAAAUGGAUGAAGUGGUGAGAGCAUUGGAGGAACUUCAGGAUUC